AGGGCACAGGCGAAGAGAGACAGAGCCGGAGCGGGCCGGGGGCUGCGGCAGCGGCGGGCGGAGACGGGAGCGCGGCCGGUGGAAAAAGAGCCCAGGGUUCAACGAUCAGCCAGAGGCCUCAUUCACAGAGUUAACAACAGCCUGACAGAUCGCCCUGAUUCCCUGGGCAUCGAUAAGCUGCUCAGAAUGCUCGCCAGAGGAAACGAAUUACACUGCGUAGUUAGCAGCCUGUCUCCCAGCAAUUUCAGGCCUUCAAGAAUCCUGUGCAAUGGAUCAUCACUAAUACCUGAAGGGUCAGCUGGAGACCAAAGGUUAUGCCUCUGUGGAAUUUAUCAUUUUUCAUUGCAAAUAUCUCAGAAUUGGAGAAGUGGCAUGGAGUUCCCCUGUGUGGAUAAACAGGAGGCACUGGUUCCCAGAAGAGUGGACUGGUCAGCAGCAAUAAAUCGACUUUAAAACACAACAUCCAAACACUAAAGCAGGAUGAAGUGGUCUGUGUACCAUGCAAGGAGGUCAAAAGUAUGCAUAUCAUGUGCUGUGACUGAUGUUUACUGAAUGGGGAAAUUCUUAUUAACUUUUUUUGGAAUGAAUACUCUCUCUGUUGUCAUUGGUUGCAUUUGCAAGAAGUUUUUGUUCCCAGAUGUUUAUUCUCAGCCCUGUACUUCUUGAAUAAGUAGUCUUCCGCAAAUGUGAUCCUAGCUUUAUGCAAUGAUUAAGUGUUUUUUCAGGCUGCUUGUUUUGCUAGUUGUUCUUGACAGUCACGUUUCAGCUUUCUGAGCAUGCACAUGUUUGUCUCAUGAUUUCUAGUAACAGCAUACCCUGAUAGCUUUCAGGUUUGCUGAGCUUCCCCAGGCUGCUAGGGCAUUUUGUCAAGAGUGAAGACUCACAGUCUUCAAAAGAAAGACUUCCAGCUAACUCCUGGAGAAGUACUUUCUACUUGUCAAUGUCUUUCAUCACCCUCCCAGCUCUGAGAGGUGGUGAUGAUCUGCCCCUUGUUAUCCAAGAGCAGCAAGAAGGGAAGUGGUCUCUUGAGAUUGCAGUCCAGUGCCAUUGGAGAUGCCUCCAAAUGUGUGCCUGCAUUUUCUCUCACUGACAAUGUUGUCUCACACAUUUUGGGGUUGAGAGAACCACAAGUCAAGGCUGAGGCCUUUCCUAGUAGCAUGAAAGGAGCAGGAUUCUUACACAAAACUCUAGUGAACUCCUUUGCUACUUUAAAAGCAAGUAACAACACAUUUGAAAAGCAAAAUUGAUCCAUUUAAUGUAAGUCCUGCAAAUCUUGUUUACUUUGCUUGCAUGCUUUGAGUUUUUGUUAGCAGGAAGAAGAUGAGCAGCAUGUAGAACUAUUCACUUCCCUCUGCAUUUGAAUUUUCUGUAACAUAUACACUUUUCCCUUAGAAAUUGAAGGCUUAAAAAAAUUAUUAUUUUUUCUUCCAUAUAAAAAACCAGAAAAACCACAGAUGAUAGGUUGGCAAUAGUGACCAGCAUGAAAUGGUUACCUCUUUAACACAGUUCAGAGAUAACAGAAGGAUCUGUCACAUCUGUGUCACCUACAUACAGGAAGGACAGGGUGUUGUCAUGUCCAUUUGGUUGUCAGAGUACUGCAGGAAUGAUGCUGCUGGUACUUAGGGUCUUCAAACAAGUUGUUUGUCAACAUGCUUUUGAGUCCCUAAUUGUACUCAACCAAAUUUGAUCUUCACCUCAAGAAAUUGUGUCCGUGUACCUUCUACUCUUUCUGUCCAAGUCCUGGGCCUUAAUGCUUAGAUUUGUAGUUUGCAAUUUGUUUUCUCAGCCUCAGUCUUUUUGUAAUCCUCAAAAACAAGGAUCACAACAAGAAAGGAAACCCCUUUUUAAUUUUAUUGCCAUUAAGAUCCCUGAUCUUGUUUAGGACUCCUUGGCUCAAAAAUGUGGAAAUAUGUCCUGGCUCAGAUACAUUGUUGGAGGUGAAACAGUACCUAUGGAUAUCAUCUGCUCAGGAUACUGUGUCAGUGCUAUCCCCUGGCUUUGCUAUUUCCAGCCAGAUUUGCAGAAGCAACAGGAAAGUUAGCAAAGCAAGGCAAACAGUGCUGGGUUAUUUUUGCUACAUUCAGUUUCCUUGCAGCUGGUCAAAUUACUCAGUGCCUUCCAAAUCUGACCAGAUAGAAAUGCAAGUGAAAACUUGAAGUGAGCACCAGACAAGCUUGGGACAGUGUCUUGUGUUUGAUGCCCUCUGUCCUGCCAUGUUUCAUAAGCAAGAGUGAGCAGCCUUUUGUGCACACUCACACCAGAAGAUGUAAAUGCAAAGCCAGAAGUUCUCACCUAUUUUUAACAUCUCCCAAACCCCAGGGCAAGACCCAAGGAGGAUAUUGUACAGGACAAUGGGGUAAUGCCAGCCAGGAAGCCCCCUGCUGUAGCCAGGGCCCCACUGGGUGGCUGCAGAGCAGGAAGACCAAAGGGCACAUAGCUGCUGAGCUGAGCUGAGCUGAACUUUCAGCGCUGACCAGUCCUCAGGGGUCCUGGUCCUCUCCCUGCCAUAGUGUUCUGCCAUGUCUCUGUUGUUUACCUCCCUGCAGAGAGCUCCCAGGCCAAGGGACAGCCCCUGCAAGCUCAGCUGCUGCAAGGAGCAGGAGAUGGUCCGAUUUAAGGAGCUAUUACUGGUACCAGUGGCUGCUUCCUGCAUACUUAACUCUGCAUCUGCUCAUGAAAAAUACCAUCUAAACUGGACUUGGGUCAUUAGCUUUGCCUGGUGCUCUUACACUGGGAUUUGCUUCUUUUUAUUAGAUACAGCUUUCCAAAGGGACAGAUACUUGCUGUUCCAUCUUGAAAUUAAAACAAACAAACAAAGCCACCAUCAACUUUCUUGUAAUGUAUAAUAUUCCUGCAUGAUUUAGAAUUUGUUUCCUCUCUUUUCUCCUGAUGGGAAAUGAGGGGCAGGGACCCAGCACAUCAUCUGGGAAACUGCUGUAGUCCCAUGGCUGAACUGGAUCGUCAGCUCAGUUGCUACAGGAGCUGGAAGGAGAGAUGGCUGCACCCAUGUCAUCCAUCAUGGGAAAAAAUGCCCAAAGCAGUGUGUAUUUAAGGUUACCAUCUCCCAGGUGGCCCUUUACUUAGAACAUCCCAAUAUGUUGUUAGUUAUGGAGCAGGGCUUUGGGCUUAGGUUUGUUGUGAUAUACCAAAGGCAUCUUACCAUUUUCUGUGAUAGCAGCGGAGUUAAAUAAAUGAUUAUAAUAAUAACUACAGAGUGUGUUCCUGAGGUUUUACUACAUGUAAACACAAUCAUAAGUGUAAUCAAUGUCAAUGACUUCCAUUUAAUUCUCAGACAAAGUUUGCUUUUAAAUAUCACACCAGAUUUGACACGGUUAAUGAUAAAUGGAAUGCAAUUAGUUCUACUAUUUGCUUUGAUGAUAUGCUAAAUUAUGUCUUACAACAGACCAUUUAUUAUCCAAACCUAAUGGUUAUACUCUUGCAUUUAACAAAUCUAAUGUAUAUUAAACUGUAGCAAACGGAUAAGUUUCAAAAUUAGAUACUAAAGGCUAGAAAAAAGUUAUUCUAUGAAUGAGUUUCAUUUAAUAAAUCCUUGCCAUUGCUCAAGUUACAAAACCUUAAAUUGGAAGAGUUCUAUAUAUAUUUCUCAAAAUUGCACAAAUAAAAAAAUAAUUAUGCUGCCUCUUAGUGAUUUGCAGUCACUUAAUGGAUAUUUAAUCUUAAGGAAAAUAUUAAAAUUUAAAUGUUCUUAUGGCAUUUUUAACAUAAUGCAUCUUCUAAUUGUUAACAAGAAAAUUAUUACUUUUUUUUCCCUCCAGAAAUUUAUCAUGAGCUUACCAUGAUAAUUGAAAAAUUAACAAAGAGAGUGUAGUACUUCAGAAGACAAAAGUAAUUUCCUAAUUUUUCACUACGCGUUGGUUUUGCAUGGCCUGGUUUUUGGUAGCAGGGGGACCACAGAGAUGGCUUUUUUGAGAAGAUGCUGGAAGCUUCCACCAUGUCCAGCAGAGCCAAUCCCUGAUGGCUCUGAAGAUGGUCAUGUGCUGGCUGAGGCUGGGCCAAGUAGAGAUGAUGGUAACUCCUCUGUGAUAAUAGAUUUAAGAAGAAAUCCAAACAAAGGUGUGAGGUGCACUUCUAAUUCCAGCCAGAGAAGGGGAGGAGGUGAGAACAUGUGAGAGAAACAACAUGGAGACCCUGAGGUCAGUGGAGAAAGAGUGGGAGGAGGUGCUUCAGGUGCCAGAGCUGAGAUUCCUCUGCAGUCCAUGGUGAUAACCAUGGUGAAGCAGCUGUGCCCCUGCAGCUCGUGGGUAUCCACAAGGGAUGCAGAGAUCCACCCGCAGCUCCUGGGGGAGGUGCCAGAGCAGGUGGAUGCCUGAUGCACUUCUGCCUGUGAUCCAAUGGGACACCCAGAGACAGAGGGCACUUGCUUCCAUGUUGGAGCAGCCUGUCAUUGGAGGACUGCACCCCAAAGAAGAGUGACCAACACCAUAGAAAUUUUGGGAGGACUAUGUGUGGGAAAUUGGGACUCAUGUUGCAGCAGUUUUGGAAGGACUGCGGUUCAUGAGAGUGGAUCCACGUUGGAGAGGUUCACAGAGAACUGUCUCCUGUGGAAAGAGCCCCCAUGGUCUCACAGGGGAACAACUUGUCUCCCUGAGGAGUGGAAGAAAACCUCAGGUGAUGAACUGAUUAAAACCCCCACGCCCUGUCUCCCUGCACCAUCGAUGGGAAGGAGGGAGGUGUUGGGGGAAGAAAAGGUGUUUUUAAGGGCAUGUUUUACUUGUCAUUAUCCUCCUCUGAUUUUGUUAGUAAUAAACUCAGGCUGUAUCUCUAUGGUGA
This is a long non-coding RNA of Lonchura striata (white-rumped munia), 4791 nucleotides long. RefSeq lists it as uncharacterized. The record is from RefSeq and is a predicted model, not a curated record. Lineage: Eukaryota; Metazoa; Chordata; Aves; Passeriformes; Estrildidae.